This 112-nucleotide transfer RNA is filed under the name Methanosarcina sp. MTP4. It matches the Rfam family "tRNA". Rfam says of the family: Transfer RNA (tRNA) molecules are approximately 80 nucleotides in length. Their secondary structure includes four short double-helical elements and three loops (D, anti-codon, and T loops). Lineage: Archaea; Methanobacteriati; Methanobacteriota; Methanomicrobia; Methanosarcinales; Methanosarcinaceae. The record is from Rfam by way of RNAcentral. RNAcentral also lists the same sequence under 1 other name.
CCCGCCUUAACUCAGUGGUAGAGUGCGCGGCUGUAGUUCGGCCAAUGCGAGUGAAAUCGCACAUUUCCGCGCAGGCACCGCGAUGUCCCCGGUUCGAGUCUGGGAGGCGGGA